Molecule: ribosomal RNA, 326 nt
Filed under: uncultured eukaryote
Lineage: Eukaryota
Description: partial 18S ribosomal RNA
Rfam family: Eukaryotic small subunit ribosomal RNA
Source: RNAcentral
CCCCUAGACGUUCUGGGCUGCACGCGCGCUACAAUAAUACGCACAGCGAGUAUCACCGAGCUCGAAAGGGCAAGGUAAACAAUAGAAAAGGUACUGUAAUGGUUAUAGAUCCUUGUAAUUAUUGAUCUUCAACGAGGAAUUCCUAGUAAGUAUGUGUCAUCAUCACGCACUGAUUACGUCCCUGCCCUUUGUACACACCGCCCGUCGCUCCUACCGAUUGAGUGAUCCGGUGAGGCUCUGGGACCUGGACGGAAAGAGCGUUUCGCUUGUUCUGUUUGGGAAACUUGGUCGAACCUUAUCAUUUAGAGGAAGGAGAAGUCGUAACA